UACGGGGGGGGCAAGCGUUGUUCGGAAUUACUGGGCGUAAAGGGCUCGUAGGUGGCCAACUAAGUCAGACGUGAAAGCCCUGGGCUCAACCCAGGAAGUGCACCCGAUACUGUCUGGCUCGAGUCCUGGAGAGGGUAGUGGAAUUCCCAGUGUAGCGGUGAAAUGCGUAGAUACUGGGAGGAACACCGGUGGCGAAGGCG
RNAcentral lists this ribosomal RNA (200 nucleotides) under uncultured prokaryote. RNAcentral describes it as "partial 16S ribosomal RNA". It matches the Rfam family "Bacterial small subunit ribosomal RNA", at positions 524 to 723 of the family's 1533-position model. The record is from RNAcentral.